UUACGGUCACAUCACGUUGUAACACCGGUUCUCGUACGAUCACCGAAGUUAAGCAACGUCGAGCCUGGCGAGUACCUAGAUGGGCCACCGUUUGGGAAUAUCAGAUGCUAUA
Molecule: non-coding RNA, 112 nt
Organism: Acanthosepion pharaonis
Lineage: Eukaryota; Metazoa; Mollusca; Cephalopoda; Sepiida; Sepiidae
Source: the annotation of a GenBank genome assembly